Molecule: ribosomal RNA, 253 nt
Filed under: uncultured bacterium
Lineage: Bacteria
Description: partial 16S ribosomal RNA
Rfam family: Bacterial small subunit ribosomal RNA
Source: RNAcentral
GACGAAGGAUGCAAGCGUUAUCCGGAUUCAUUGGGUUUAAAGGGUGCGUAGGCGGACUGAUAAGUCAGUGGUGAAAUCUCUUUGCUUAACAAAGAAACUGCCAUUGAUACUGUUAGUCUAGAGUAUAGAUGACGUUGGCGGAAUAUGACAUGUAGUGGUGAAAUACUUAGAUAUGUCAUAGAACACCGAUUGCGAAGGCAGCUAACGAAACUAUAACUGACGCUGAGGCACGAAAGUGCGGGGAUCAAACAGG